AGCAGCCGCGGUAAUUCCAGCUCCAAUAGCGUAUAUUAAAGUUGUUGCAGUUAAAAAGCUCGUAGUUGAAUUUCGGGGUUAGCAAGUUGGUCGUGCCUUUGGUAUGCACUGGCUUUGCUGACUCCUCCUUCUUGAAGAACUGUGAUGCUAUUAAUUUGGUGUUGCAGGGAAACAGGACUGUUACUUUGAAAAAUUAGAGUGUUUAAAGCAGGCUAACGCUUGAAUACAUUAGCAUGGAAUAAUGAAAUAGGACGUUUGAUCCUAUUUUGUUGGUUUCUAGGAUUGACGUAAUGAUUAAUAGGGAUAGUUGGGGGCAUUAGUAUUCAAUUGUCAGAGGUGAAAUUCUUGGAUUUAUUGAAGACUAACUACUGCGAAAGCAUUUGCCAAGGAUGUUUUCAUUAAUCAAGAACGAAAGUUAGGGGAUCGAAGACGAUCAGAUACCGUCGUAGUCUUAACCAUAAACUAUGCCGACUAGGGAUCGGAUGAUGUUAAUUUUUAAUGA
RNAcentral lists this ribosomal RNA (502 nucleotides) under uncultured Glomus. RNAcentral describes it as "SSU rRNA". It matches the Rfam family "Eukaryotic small subunit ribosomal RNA", at positions 569 to 1074 of the family's 1831-position model. The record is from RNAcentral. Lineage: Eukaryota; Fungi; Glomeromycota; Glomeromycetes; Glomerales; Glomeraceae.